Long non-coding RNA from Glossina fuscipes, 559 nucleotides. RefSeq lists it as uncharacterized. Lineage: Eukaryota; Metazoa; Arthropoda; Insecta; Diptera; Glossinidae. The record is from RefSeq and is a predicted model, not a curated record. The transcript has 2 exons.
ACUGUUCUGUGUUCAAUUAAAGGAAAAAUUUUUGUAAGACAUGAAAAGCUGUAAAACCGGUUAAAGUAGAAAUGAUUUUUUAUAUAGAAGUAAAAAAACACACAAACAAAAGAGAAGGAAAAAUUCUCAAAUCAAACUCAAUCAUAAUCAAAAUGUUAUAAAUAAAAAAACAAAAAAUAACGAAAAUUUAAAAAAUUGGGGAAAAAAAAACUUCAAAAAUUACUUUUGUGCUUUCUCACUACUCGUAAUCUUAAGUAAAUGCUUAAUAAAACGUAAAAUUUAAUCCCUCAUCAUAGCAGUAGAGGCGAAAGUGCCAUUUUACAGAAUCACGGAAGUCCGAAUACAAUUUGCAAAACUGAACACAAUUGUUCGAAGUGAAUAUUAAAAGAAAUGUUCGUUUGAUUGAUUGCAGAGAUUGAAACAAAAAUUGCAAAUUAAUCGAUAAAAAUAUCAAUUAAAGGAAUGCAUAUAUUAGACAGUGAACGAAUGCAUGAACGAUUGAGUAAAUAAAUGACUGAAUGAAUGAAUGCUUGCAUGAAGGAAUAUAAAAAAUAAAAUG